RNAcentral lists this ribosomal RNA (1351 nucleotides) under Ochrogaster lunifer (bag-shelter moth). RNAcentral's name for it is "large subunit ribosomal RNA". Lineage: Eukaryota; Metazoa; Arthropoda; Insecta; Lepidoptera; Notodontidae. The record is from RNAcentral.
GGGGUAAAAUUAAUAAGUUAAAAAUAAUAAAAAGAAUUUUAGAGUUUAAAAUAUUUAAUGGGGGUUAAAGUAUUUUAAUAGAAAAAAUUUAAAUUUUUAUAGUGGAAAGUAUUGUAAGUGAAUUUUGAAAUAUGUGAAAUAUUUAAUUGUUUGUAAAGUAAUUUUUAAUUAGUGUAUCUUGUGUAUCAGAGUUUAUUUAUAAUUAUUUUAGUGUUAAAGUUUCUCGAAUUUAAAUGAGAUAAUUAAUUUAUAAAUUUAUUGUUGUAAAAAUAUUUUAAAUAGUUAAUUGGAAAUGAAAUGUUAUUCGUUUUUAAAUAUAUCUAGUUUUUUUAGAAAAAAAUUUAAUUUUUAUUAUUAAAAUAAAAAAAAUUAUUAAUUUUUUUUUUUAUUUUAAUUAUGUAUAUACUAAGGGAUAAGCUUUAGUUUAAAUUUAUAUAAUUGAUUAUGAAAAUUAGUGAAAUUUUAUAAUUUAUAUUGUUAAUAAAUUUUUAUUUAUUAUAAAUAAUUUUUAUUUAAGAAAAAUUUAUAUUUUAAUUUAUUUUUAUAUAAAAAAAUAGAUUUAAAUUAUAAAAAUAUAGUUAUAUUGAUAAAAUUAGUAUAUAAAAUAUUAGUAUAAAAUUAAGGUAUUUAUUUGAAUUAAUUUUGAGGAAUUCGGCAAAUAUUUAUAUUCACCUGUUUAUCAAAAACAUGUCUUUUUGUUGAUAAUUUAAAGUCUAAUCUGCCCACUGAAAAUUGAUUGAAGGGCUGCAGUAUAUUGACUGUACAAAGGUAGCAUAAUCAUUAGUCAUUUAAAUGAUGACUUGUAUGAAAGAUUGGAUGAAAUAUAUACUGUCUUAAAAUUAAGUAUAAAAUUUAAUUUUUUAAUUAAAAAGUUAAAAUAAUUUAAAAAGACGAGAAGACCCUAUAGAGUUUUAUAGUUGACUUAAUUAUUGUUAUUUAUAUAAAUAUUAAAUAUAAAUUUUUGUUUAAUUAUUUUAUUGGGGUGAUAAAAAAAUAAAUAUAACUUUUUUUAAAUUUAAACAUAGAUACGUGGUUUGUUGAUCCAUUAUUAUUGAUUAAAAGAAAAAAUUACCUUAGGGAUAACAGCGUAAUUUUUUCUUUUAGUUCGAAUAAAAGAGAGAGUUUGCGACCUCGAUGUUGGAUUAAGAUAAAAUUUAGGUGUAGAAGUUUAAAAUUUUGAUCUGUUCGAUCAUUAAAAUCUUACAUGAUCUGAGUUCAAACCGGUGUAAGCCAGGUUGGUUUCUAUCUUUUAUAGUGAGAUAAUAUUUUAGUACGAAAGGAAUGAAUAUUAAAAUUAAAUUUUAUAAGGGGAAUUUUAUUAAGUUUUUUUAAGAUUAUUUUAAGUAAGGGA